UUGAACGCUGGCGGCAUGCUUUACACAUGCAAGUCGAACGGCAGCACGGGGGCAACCCUGGUGGCGAGUGGCGAACGGGUGAGUAAUGCAUCGGAACGUACCCAGUCGUGGGGGAUAACGCAGCGAAAGUUGUGCUAAUACCGCAUACGACCCGAGGGUGAAAGCGGGGGACCGUAAGGCCUCGCGCGAUUGGAGCGGCCGAUGUCUGAUUAGCUAGUUGGUGGGGUAAAGGCCCACCAAGGCGACGAUCAGUAGCGGGUCUGAGAGGAUGAUCCGCCACACUGGGACUGAGACACGGCCCAGACUCCUACGGGAGGCAGCAGUGGGGAAUUUUGGACAAUGGGGGCAACCCUGAUCCAGCCAUGCCGCGUGCGGGAAGAAGGCCUUCGGGUUGUAAACCGCUUUCGGACGGAAAGAAAUCGCAUGGACUAAUACUCUGUGUGGAUGACGGUACCGUAAGAAGAAGCACCGGCUAACUACGU
Molecule: ribosomal RNA, 482 nt
Filed under: uncultured bacterium
Lineage: Bacteria
Description: bacterial SSU rRNA
Rfam family: Bacterial small subunit ribosomal RNA
Source: RNAcentral